GAUAAACGCUGGCGGCACACAUAAGACAUGCAAGUCGAACGGACUUAACUCAUUCUUUUAGAUUGAGAGCGGUUAGUGGCGGACUGGUGAGUAACGCGUAAGCAACCUGCCUAUUAGAGGGGAAUAACAGUGAGAAAUCAUUGCUAAUACCGCAUAUGCUAACAGUAUCGCAUGAUACAGUUAGGAAAGGAGCAAUCCGCUAAUAGAUGGGCUUGCGUCUGAUUAGCUAGUUGGUGGGGUAGAGGCUUACCAAGGCGACGAUCAGUAGCCGAGCUGAGAGGCUCAACGGCCACAUUGGGACUGAGAUACGGCCCAG
Molecule: ribosomal RNA, 316 nt
Filed under: uncultured bacterium
Lineage: Bacteria
Description: bacterial SSU rRNA
Rfam family: Bacterial small subunit ribosomal RNA
Source: RNAcentral